Molecule: ribosomal RNA, 253 nt
Filed under: uncultured bacterium
Lineage: Bacteria
Description: partial 16S ribosomal RNA
Rfam family: Bacterial small subunit ribosomal RNA
Source: RNAcentral
UACGUAGGGUGCAAGCGUUAUCCGGAAUUAUUGGGCGUAAAGAGCUCGUAGGCGGUUUGUCGCGUCUGCUGUGAAAACUGGGGGCUCAACCCCCAGCCUGCAGUGGGUACGGGCAGACUAGAGUGCGGUAGGGGAGAAUGGAAUUCCCGGUGUAGCGGUGAAAUGCGCAGAUAUCAGGAAGAACACCCGUGGCUAAGGCGGCUCUCUAGUACGUGACUGACGCUGAGACGCGAAAGCGUGGGGAGCGAACAGG